RNAcentral lists this ribosomal RNA (253 nucleotides) under uncultured bacterium. RNAcentral describes it as "partial 16S ribosomal RNA". It matches the Rfam family "Bacterial small subunit ribosomal RNA", at positions 524 to 776 of the family's 1533-position model. The record is from RNAcentral.
UACGGAGGGGGCUAGCGUUGUUCGGAAUUACUGGGCGUAAAGCGCACGUAGGCGGCUUCUCAAGUCAGAGGUGAAAUCCCCGGGCUCAACCCGGGAACUGCGUCCGAUACUGGCAGGCUUGAAUCCGGGAGAGGGAUGCGGAAUUCCAGGUGUAGCGGUGAAAUGCGUAGAUAUCUGGAGGAACACCGGUGGCGAAGGCGGCAUCCUGGACCGGCAUUGACGCUGAGGCGCGAAAGCCAGGGGAGCAAACGGG